This 229-nucleotide ribosomal RNA is filed under the name uncultured bacterium. RNAcentral's name for it is "partial 16S ribosomal RNA". It matches the Rfam family "Bacterial small subunit ribosomal RNA", at positions 568 to 796 of the family's 1533-position model. The record is from RNAcentral.
UCCGUAGGCGGGCAAUUAAGUCAGAGGUGAAAUCCCACAGCUCAACUGUGGAACUGCCUUUGUUACUGGUUGUCUUGAGUUACAGUGAAGUAGAUAGAAUAUGUAGUGUAGCGGUGAAAUGCAUAGAUAUUACAUAGAAUACCGAUUGCGAAGGCAGUCUACUAACUGUAUACUGACGCUAAUGGACGAAAGCGUGGGGAGCGAACAGGAUUAGAUACCCUGGUAGUCC